UACUCCACAUCGAGACCUGUUACCAUGGCAACCGACUGACAACAGCUGCACCGAAGCAAACAAAAUACCAACCACAUUUCACACACACACGAAAAAAGUACGUAAAAAUGCAACUGAAGAGCCAAAGAGAAGAGGUGGACGAGUUCAGCAAGUCAACCAAGUUCCCCAAAGUCCCGAAAACUGAGGAGGCAAAUCCAGAAUAAAACUCAGCUUUUUAUCCUGAUAAAACGUACAGGAAGCGAUUGGAGAGCAGCAGGAAAAGUUGCUGCUGCGUUUGUGCCGAGGUCGAGCGAGCGCAGAGGCCUGGGAGGGAAAGCACCUGCGGAGGAGGAGUGCGUUCUGGACCACAGGAGAUAAAAGAGCCGGGUUUUCAUCGCUUCCUGCAAAGAAUGGGAGCCACCGUCAGAACAACCUGCGCAUCACUUUAAUCUUCCCCCUCAAAGGUUCGUCCUGAAAUCAGGAGAAAUGAAACAGAAAAGACGGAUGGAUUGAUGCUGCGAGAAAGAGAGAGAGUGAUCGAAUCACGCAGCGCUGCAGGAAGUCUUCCUCCCGUCAAUCUGAACCCACUCAGCUUCCUGUGCAGCAAACCCGAUUAGCUGCCUCUCCUCCGACGCUGGUGCGACUUUAAAGGGGGAUGUGGGGAUAAUAUGCAUUAUUACUUUUAUCCAGUAAGUGAGGCGGGCCAAUAAUUGGGCAACGCUGGAGUUUUAUUGUUCCCAGCUGCUGCGGUCAUUACUAAACGUCAAAGAGAUGCAACAUUUCCUGUCGCUCUAACGACAGUAAUCACUUCCCUCUCUCCUCUGAAUACUCUGCCGCGCAUCCUGGCCGUGGAAGGUACGGAGAUGAGACUUCUUCAUCAUCUUUAUUGGAUUCGUCCCGCAAACCAAAUCAUGGCAGGUGAACGCCCUGCAGACAACAAACCAACAGAGGAGCUCUGUUUUUAGAGGCUGGCAGACGCUUCACAGGUGUCACAGCUCAGGUGAGAAGAAGAUCUGAGGGACGAAGGGUUGCAAGCCGGCAGCGCGACUUCAUCUGAGAGUUAUGUUCUUAAACGAGAUCCAAAUAUAGAUCCAGUUUGGGUGGAAGGAAGGGGUUUGUUUUUUCUCCAAUAAAUCUUUGAAAGGUUCUGCAUUUUGUCUAACAGUGGCUGCAGUUUUCUACAAACAGACAGAGAACGUUGUUUUUACCAUUACAAAGUUGUAACAUACAUAACAUGUAUAUGUAACAUACAUAACAUGUAUGUUACAUAUAUGAAAAUGGAUUACAGUGAAUCUAAGGAUGUUCUCCCUCCUGAUAGACUCAGUUUGUUUGGACCAGAACUUCAUCAACCGCUCCAUCUACAGCCACUGUGAUUCUCUUCCUCUCUCUUGCUAGGGUGAGGCUAGCACAUUAGCUUUGGUUGUAUUUACUCAGAAUGCCCUGCU
Xiphophorus couchianus (Monterrey platyfish) is the source of this 1424-nucleotide long non-coding RNA. RefSeq lists it as uncharacterized. The record is from RefSeq and is a predicted model, not a curated record. Lineage: Eukaryota; Metazoa; Chordata; Actinopteri; Cyprinodontiformes; Poeciliidae. The transcript has 4 exons.